UCGAACUUGCAACAAUCCUCCUGCCUCAGCCUCCCAAGUGCUGAUUGGUAACUAUUUAAAUAGCAAACAAAUGCGCAAUUACAACUAUGACAGUCUGGAUUAGCAAAAAAGUAUGUGAUGUUAGGAAAGGAAAUAGUAAGGCACCUGAACUUGUCAGGGAAAUCAACCAGGAUGUCUUGGAGAAAGCAGUGCUAGAGCAGAGUGGGCUCUUAGGUAGAGGAAACAUAUGCAAAGGUCCUAUGGUCAGCAUGGCCAGUGUAGCUGGAGCUCAGAGAGUGAGUGGGUGCAGGAUGCCAGAGAGGUAGGAAGGACCAGACCUUGCAGGGCCCAUGGGCCAGCUCAGCGUCUGAUCUUUUUUUGUGUGGGGGUGUUACUUGGUAUUGAAGGUACAGCUUCACACUAAGAUACAUCCCCAGCCCUUUUUUUUUUUUUUCCCCAGGCUGACCUCGAACUUGCAAACCUCCUCCUCAGCCUCCUAGAGUGUUGGGAAGUCCUUUGGUCUUUCUUGCAAGAGGAAUGAGAAGCUGCUGAAAAGCUUCAGCUGGUGGAGGACAUGGUCAGAUUAACGACUGGAAAAGACGGUCGUGCUGUUGCCGUUCCCCCGACAGGACUGCCCAGCCGAGCUGCUUUGUGCCCUCGCAGCCUCUCUGAAUAUUCAAAGAACGUCCUCUCCACUCAAGCCUUGCCCAGCCUCGUGAACGUGCGUCUGGCUCCCCCUGGUGGUCGAUGAGCGUAUUGCCAGGAUAAGAAGUGGGACCUGUAGAGACCUCUGAACCAGACACGGGGCGGCGGCUCAGGUCCCAGCCGAGCGGUCAGGACAUGUGUGCAGUGCUGUCCUGUGGGAUUGGCCGGUGACUCAGUCUAUAACCGUGGACGAUUCCCCAGACCUCUGUGAACUUCCAUUUCCGCACCUGCAAAUUCGGGCGCGUGAUAGGGGUGAGGCUUUUCUUGAACUAACAAUUAAAAUCUUGUUGGUUGCAA
Molecule: long non-coding RNA, 981 nt
Organism: Chinchilla lanigera (long-tailed chinchilla)
Lineage: Eukaryota; Metazoa; Chordata; Mammalia; Rodentia; Chinchillidae
Exons: 2
Source: RefSeq, a predicted model, not a curated record